This is a long non-coding RNA of Lagenorhynchus albirostris (white-beaked dolphin), 3543 nucleotides long. RefSeq lists it as uncharacterized. Lineage: Eukaryota; Metazoa; Chordata; Mammalia; Artiodactyla; Delphinidae. The record is from RefSeq and is a predicted model, not a curated record. The transcript has 14 exons.
UUGGUUCAUGCACCUGAAAAGCUGACCCGGAAGUUAUGCUUAGAGAAGAAAAAGAGGGAAGAGCCUCUUAGGUAACUUGAAGAGCAUCAAGGAUCCAAUGAUAAAAACCACUGCCCUGAAGUGAUGUGUGCUACUUUCAGCUGAGGAUUCAACUGCUGACAUGACACCCUCGAGAUCUCUCUUUUUCUCCUCUGCCAUCACAUCCCAAAAUUCUCCAGAGUGGAUGCUUCAUCAGCGUGGGUUUGGAGCUAAGAUGAUGAUGAUACUGAGAAGAGCCUGGGGCAGACUCGCUAUGAAAAAUAAACUUUUAUUGUUUUAAGCCACUGAAGAAAACAGAAAACACUGCCCUGAACUUUCCAAGGUGUAAUAAAUCUCUCUGCAUAAGACUCUGCAGUCAUUGCCAAGGCAGAUCCUGAACUGAGAGCCACGUGGAAAGAGGACUGGAAUGGAAAUCAGACUCGGGGUCGUGCUUGGGUUUCUUCCAGAUGACCCCACCCGUCAGCCAUCUGGUCUCAGAUUCCACAUAUGAGUGAGAUCAUAUGAUAUUCAUCAUUCUGUGUCUGACUUUCUGCAACAUGGAUUGACCUAGAGAUUAUCAUACUAAGUGAAGGGGAAUACAUGGCUUUCUCCUCACUUCUUUGCAUUUUUCCAGUGCCUUUGAAAGUACCACCAGAAUGAUGGCUGCAUUUUCAGUGGUGGAAAUUAUUGCUAUGUCUCAGAAGCAAGGAAUCACAGGAUGUCUACUUUCCAGUGGGCAAGAAAAAAAAAUUCAACUAAAUGCCUGUUUGUUAGCCCAGCAUUGGAAGGGAGCAGCCUUAAAGAAUAAUUGGUCGCUCCUAAGAAACCAUUAAUAUAACAAAAGCUGUCAAAAGAUAUGAAGGAAGAAAGGAUGGUACUUUCUGAUUAUGAGGUAUGAAUUUAUUUUUGCAUGAACACUUGACCACUGGGGAACUGUGCCUUCCUGUGAAAUGCAUGCUCCAGCCAUGCCAUUGGCUCUGGUGACCCACAGAGAGGGUAAUCCAAUUAUCCAGGUGGGGUGACUGGCGGGCGGAAGGUGGAAUCAUCUGAAGGGCACUCACUCGCGUGUCUGGUGGUUGAUGCUGACUGUUGGCUGGGACCAACAUGGGGCCGUGGCUGGAACACAUACGUGUGGCCCUUCAUACGGCUGCUCAUCUUCCCCACAGUGUGGUGGCUGGGUUCCAGAGGUGAUCGCAAAGCAUUGCCCAGGUGCCGAGAGAGGAAAACUGGACUCUAUCUCUUGAUGGACUCAAGACAACCAUAAGACAUUUCGUUUUAGCUCAGUCAACAUUUUAUUCUUCAGAAAUUUGUUAAAGACUUGAAACUUUUUCCAGUCUGUUCUCUCCCACCACUACAGCGCCAAAGUAACAAAAGGAGCAAGGCUCCUCUAGCUGGAACUCAUGAAGUAAAUGAAGAACUACAAACAAUUUUUUAUGGUUAGAGGAUAUGAAUGGGGCAUGCCUCAUAAAAGUGGAAAUUUUUGUAUAGAGCCACAAAGGAUACCUAAGAUUUCUACAGAUAGAGGAAACAGAAUAAACAAAGGCACAGACGCUUGAACUUGCCUGGCACAUUCAAGGAUGUAGAAUCAAGGAGGUGUGGAAAGUGCAUGCGUGGAGGAUGGAUGACUUUCUUUGAUUUUGCCAAAAGGAGAGAAUGAGAACUUGAUAAAUAAGGCAGAAGAGGAAUUGCUUUGACUGGAGAUUUCGAAACCAUCUCUCCUCUUCCCCUGCAUUUUGAAUGGGGCUCCGUGAACAUCUGGAAGCUGGAAGUUAUUACAGAAGAUUGAGCAGAGUCCCCUGUGCUGUACAGCAGUGUGUAUACGCUCUGUCCCUCUGUCUCCUGCAUACCCGCUGCCACUGUCCAGACUUCCCACAUCCUUCUCCAGGACACUUCAGGUUUUGCCCGCACAGCAUGCAGGAUCUUUUUGGGAUCUUAGCUCCCCGACCAAGGAUGGAACCCGCACUCCCUGUAAUGGAAGCACAGAGUCUUAACCACUGGAUUGCCAGGGAAGUCCCUCUCGUCCCUUCUUUAUUUGGAAUAACAAUAUGAAAAUUCACUUCACAGGGACUAAGUGAACUUAUUAAUAAACCAGUUAGUUGGAUUAAAUCAACUCAUGAAUGAGAAGACAUUUUGCUAAGUGUAAAAUGCAUUACAGAUACAAGGGAUUAAAUGUAAGGGAUUGCUUACAUUAAUCAGUUUCUAAUGUAUUAAACAUACAGCCGUCAGUAAUUGUGAUUUUGGUUAAGUCCCUGUUACAUGUCAAACUUGCAAAACAAGUGUCUUCUUAUCCCGUAUACUUUUGAAUAAUGAUUUUAAUUAUUCUUUUUAAUAAAAGUACUGUGUUCACUGUAACUAAUCCAAAUGAUAUAAAAUGAAAAUGGAAAAGUCUACUUUUUCACCUCAAACUCCACAAGUAUAAGCCCCAGAAAUAAGCAGUUAGCAUUAGUUAUUUUUAGUUACUACUGUUACUACUCAUAAUAGCUAACAUAAUGAUAGUUUAGUACUUCACUGUGAGUCUGAUGUUGUUAGAAGCACUUCAUAUAUGAACUUAUUUUGGUGCUUACAAUAACCCUAUGGCUUAAAUAUUACUGUUAUCCUCAUACGUGAGCAAACUGAGGCACAGAGCUGGGAAGCUAUCUGCCUGGUGUCACACAGGCAUUUGGGCUCAGGCAGACUGGCUCCCAAGUUCACGCUCUCAGUCACUAUAAGCAGUGUAUCUCGGACACCUUUCCAUUUGCGUAUACAGAGAUCUACUGCGUAAUUUUAGUACCUACAGAACACUCCAUUGUGUGAUGGCGCUUAUCAGCUCCCAAUUGAUGAGAAUUUUUAUUCUCUUCCACAUUUUUCAUUAUGAGAAAUAAACUGCUAAAAAUUAAAAAUUGACCUGCCAUGGACAACCUCAUACUUCUGUGUGAGUGAGUGUGCCUUGGCAUAUACUUCUAGAAGUGAGCAGCUGAAACAAAGGACGUGUACACUAAACUUUUUGAGCACCCCCACCACGUUGCCUUCUGUAAUGAUUACUGAUUUUCACCUGGAGUCUACCAACCACCAGCAUCACUGAACGAACUGGUUAUUUUUAUGUGCUACUGUUUUUUUCUCUACAUCUCAUUGCUCUGCUGUUUGACAAGGAAUUUUACCAUAUGGUAAACACAGCAUUUGGGGAAAGCUCCUCCUAGGCCUGUGGGGUGAUGUCUCUGCUCCUGGGCAUAAGGUGAGCAGGAAUCCAGGGACCUUCCUGCUUGUGCUGCCUGAUACCUGAGGCUCUGGAGCAAUUACUGUGUGACUGUUCACCUUGGCUCAGCCUGAGAGCUACUGUGACAGAUUUAGGGGCUCUGAAACAUUUAUCCAAGCAGAGCCUCUAAACCAAUAUACAUUUUCACUCACAUGCACCCUAGGGAGAGAAGGAGAACUCUAGGGCGUGAAACUCCACAGAAAUGUAGUCUACCCCGCACUUCACCCUUGGAAACUUCUUGAGAAAUGAAAUUCAUUUCUUCCAAUCCCAGGUCUGUCUUUUUUUAACCAGUU